GAUGAACGCUGGCGGCGUGCUUAACACAUGCAAGUCGAACGGGAAUUAUUUUAUUGAAACUUCGGUCGAUUUAAUUUAAUUCUAGUGGCGGACGGGUGAGUAACGCGUGGGUAACCUGCCUUAUACAGGGGGAUAACAGUCAGAAAUGGCUGCUAAUACCGCAUAAGCGCACAGAGCUGCAUGGCUCAGUGUGAAAAACUCCGGUGGUAUAAGAUGGACCCGCGUUGGAUUAGCUGGUUGGUGGGGUAACGGCCCACCAAGGCGACGAUCCAUAGCCGGCCUGAGAGGGUGAACGGCCACAUUGGGACUGAGACACGGCCCAGACUCCUACGGGAGGCAGCAGUGGGGAAUAUUGCACAAUGGGGGAAACCCUGAUGCAGCGACGCCGCGUGAGGGAAGAAGUAUCUCGGUAUGUAAACUUCUAUCAGCAGGGAAGAUAGUGACGGUACCUGACUAAGAAGCCCCGGCUAACUACGUG
RNAcentral lists this ribosomal RNA (478 nucleotides) under uncultured bacterium. RNAcentral describes it as "partial 16S ribosomal RNA". It matches the Rfam family "Bacterial small subunit ribosomal RNA", at positions 28 to 507 of the family's 1533-position model. The record is from RNAcentral.